CUGCUUCUUCGAUUCUUCUUCGUUAUCUCUCUGCCGAUUCUGAGAGACAUUUCUGAAACCGUGAAAUCAAAUAGAAAGUUAGGGAGAUCAAUUAUCUAGUUUGAUAGAUGAAACGAUGAUUUCUCUGUGAAUCUUUGAAGAAGAAGAUGGUUUUGUUGAUGAAUCUAAAAUAGGUAAUUCAUAUUACAAAUUGAUUGACGUCUCUGUAUGAAUUCGUUCUGUUUGGAUUAAUCAUAGAGUGGGUUUGUUGUUAAUCGAGUAUAGAGAUGUUGCAUGAAAUUUAAUUUUGAUUUCUGCUAUUUCCCUAAGUCUACCAGAAGUUAGGGUUCUUGCGAAUUAGGUUAUUUAAGUUGGAUUCUGAAGAUGAAUAAGAUGAAUUGGAUAGAGGGUAAGAUAUUGGUUCAGGGUUUUGCAAAGAAGAAUCAGAAGAUGAUUGAGUUGUAGUUCAAGGAUAAAUGGUAGUUGGAUAUUGAUGUUUAUUUGAAUCGAGUUGAACAUGGGUAGUUGCAGUAGCAGUUGGGAGUAUGACAUAGGGUUUGUAGUUAGAUGUGAAGAGUUACGAGUAGAGGUGGUGGUGAACUAGAAGACACAGUAGAUUGUAGAGUUGUGCUGGUCAGGAUGAGACAGAGAUGUUGCUGUUAAUGGACCAGGAAGAAUUGAUAGAGGUAAUGGCAGAGUAAAUAUGAGGUGCUGUGAAGACUUAAGGCUGUACAGAGGAGCAAUGAUGUCUGCAAUGAAGUUUCUGAAUUGGUGUUGGUUGUUAGUUGAGUUCAAGUAGUGUGUGGGAAUAACUGUGGUAGCAGAGAUGGAGGCAUGAACGGAAUGGUGAUGCAGGUAGUAUGGUUUUGAUAAGAAUUACAUAUAUGAACUGAAUUCAGUAAGAUGGGAUUGAUUAUGAAGAUGUGUUGUUGGCAAUGAGAUGUUGAGAAUGUUGUUUGUUUGUGUAUUGAAGUUGCAGGGGAUAUAAGUGAUGUGGAGGUGUUGUAUUGCAACUGGGGUGGUGCUGUUGUGUUUUGACUGCCAGUUGAAGUGAAUGAGGUAUACAGGUUGUGCAAGAAGAGACAGAGGUGAGAUGGCUUAUGCAAUUUGAUUUGGUUGUUAGCUGUUGAGAUUAUGUGAUGUAAAGGAAAUUGGGAUUGAACUAAUGAAUGUGAAUUAUGAGUUGUUUGCCUGUAAGAUUGUGGUUGUACUGGAGGUAAUGAGAUGGAUGUUAUUGAGAAGUUAAAGAGCUUCAGUUGCAAAUUAGUGGUGGUGGUGGUUUGAGGCAGUGGUGUGUAUGGAUCUUCUAAAUUCUAAGUUUAUGAUUUGACCUGGAUAUGAGAUGUAUGAGACAAACCCAUGGGUAGUAAAUAUUACAAGUGCUGGUGGUGAUGUUGCCUAGGUGGUUGUUUUGGGUUGAGUCUGAUGAAUUAGAAUUACAAAGAUGUGAUGUUGGAAGUGUUGUUGGUGAUUAGAGAGUAGCAGGUGUUGAAUUGAACUGAUGUAAGAAGAAUGAGAUAGUGAAGUUGUAGAAAGAAUGUUGCAGCUACUGCUAAACUGCAGUUACUCUUUAUCAACAACGAUCGAUCCAAAGGAUGAACCAGUGGAUGAUGAAUCUCAAGGUAUGCGAGGCUUGUCAUCAAAAGAGUUUCAGAGAUAUCAGAAUGGCGCAGCGAAAGCUCGGGAAGUUAACUACGUUAUUUAGAUUGCUUCCACUAUGUUUAUUUUGUGUUUAUAUUUUAUUUGUAAACCAAAUGACUAUUCUAUAUGUAUCAUUUGAGAGGAGAUUUUAUAUACAUAUAUGUAUAUUCCAGAGCGGGUUAGUUUUGUGUUAUGUUU
This is a long non-coding RNA of Papaver somniferum (opium poppy), 1818 nucleotides long. RefSeq lists it as uncharacterized. The transcript is spliced from 3 exons. The record is from RefSeq and is a predicted model, not a curated record. NCBI's taxonomy places the organism in Eukaryota, Viridiplantae, Streptophyta, Magnoliopsida, Ranunculales, Papaveraceae.